AAAAAAAGAGAGGGGAAACAGAGAGAGAGAGAGAUACACAGAUCUAUGUGUGUAUACAGAGAUCUGUGUACACACAUAAAGGAAGGUCGCAAUAGGCGACGGUGACAGUGAUGACGACACCGGUGGGUGGAGAGAGUUCUGGCGCUCUCUUCCCCUUUCCUCUUCUCUUUCUUCUCUCUUUCUCCCUCUUUUUUUUCUCACAUCUCUUGAGAAAAAAAAAAAAAAAUCGAAACCGAAACCGAAACGGCGUCGCUUUGAUAUUCGGGCACACGAGGCUCCAAAAUUCCGAAGCUUUUUUCCUCUUAGUAAUAAUCAUUUUAGUUGCAUUUACAUAUCAAAUCAUGCGAAUUUCUGAUUAGAAAGAAAUAAUAAUAAUCUCAUGCAAGUAGGGAAUGUAGGCAUGGAAUGGGCAAAGGUUCAUCAAGAGUGUGCAAUGUUUGACACAGCUACUUACUUGGGACGGAAAUUUUCACUUCAUAUUUCAUUUUCUUAAAUUUCUCAACCUCCCCCCACUUAAAUCUGUCAACCCAGUCCCAAAAUCAGCAAAUUUCUCGUUUAUUGUCAAUCAAAAAGAAAAAAAAGAAAUUUAUUGGAUUACCGUUGGUCACUGCAUAUGCUGAAAAUCGAAGAAGCCCGUAAAUUGUUCGAUGAAAUGCCAGAACGAAGUGUUGCGCAUCUUGAGAUGCGGAAUUUGCGAAGCCAGUGAAUGAUUUUGGCAAAUGCCUAGGGGAAUUUUUCGUUGGUUUCUGGGUACUUGAAGACGUGUGAUUUAAAAGAAACCAUUCGGGAUUUUGAAGGUAUGGUGGAGAAAGAUGUUUCUUGGAGCUCAAUGGUUAAUGGGUAGGGAUGCUAGAGACCUGUUUGAUAGGAUGUCUGAGAGAAAUGUGAUUGAUUGUGCUGCAGUGAUAAAUGGGUGUUUCAAUAUGCAGAAUUUCAAAGAUGGGUUUGAAUUUUUAUUAGAAAUGAGACUGGAAGAUGAGUGUAAAAAUUAAUUCUACUACACUGAUCAUAAUACAAGUCAUCUUUGUACUGGGUGUUGUUGAAUUUCUCUUUUGAACUAAUGGGAGACUGCUUGGGCUGAUCAUGAGUUUUGGCUUAGACCAGAGUUUCUUUGAGGCUGUGAUUUCUAUAAAUUUAUACUCUGGACCAGGGGAGUGAAAUGAAAAAUUAAUGGAAAGGUUGCAAUACUUUCAGAUGGACGAUGGCUCAGUAGUUGGCAGUAUCAAAGGACUCAAAGAUUUCUGUCCUUCACUCUUCUUACUCUCCAGGAAGUAGUAGCAGGCUAGAAGCUUAUUCAUGUUUUGAUGAACUUGGUCUUCAAAGAAUUCCUUGGAGGCUUUUUGUCUCUGAUCUUUCUUGAAUGGAAAAUUUAGGUGGGUGAAAUGUUGAAAGGGAUGGAAAUGGGAUGAAGGACAAUAGACCAUAAGCUGUGGGAGGAUGAUUUGAUGCAUGUCUGGUCAAAUCCCAUUCCAAAUGUUCUUGUCUUCACACUUCGAGUAAACCUACUACUGAAAACAACACUCGUGCCAAGUGUUUUGACAUCUUAUUUGACAUGUUCUCUUUCUCCUACAGUCAGCUCUGGUGUUAGCAAUAUUCAACAACUGCCUCGACUAUAUCAUAAUUAUUGUCAAUCACAGCCGGACAAGAUCUUGUGGUCCCUUGAACUCUGUGUGUUUUGUAGCACUUAGCUUCUGCAGUCAGCAAUAUUCAACAACUGCCUCGACUACAAUCUCUGUAUUGUCACGCUCAGUUUCCUCAGCCCACCAACACGGUAAGACUAGACGUAGAUGAAGACUUGCUCAAAGCUAAUUGGAUGUAGUUGAGCAGAAAAGAUCAGGAAAUGAGGCAUUUUUUUGAGUGUGAUAGGGCCGGGCCUUACAUUGUUUUGAGUGUGAUAAGUAGCUUAUCCAUUCAGAUAAGAUACUUAGAAAAUAAAAUCAUUUGUUUUUUCUUUUCUCAGUUUUUAUACCAAACAGACUAAUGAAAUAAAUUUGGCAAGCUUCUCAUAAUUUUUUUUCUGACGUGUCCUGAAAUUAGUAUGAUUGUAACGUUGUGUUUGUUUCGAUGGAAAACGCUUUUGGAGUAUUUUGAGAAACGAUUAAAAUUAAUUUUUUUUGUUUUUUUUUAAAAAAAAAUAUGUAAAAAUUGUGAGAGAUUGUGUGAUUUAAAA
This is a long non-coding RNA of Camellia sinensis, 2170 nucleotides long. RefSeq lists it as uncharacterized. The record is from RefSeq and is a predicted model, not a curated record. NCBI's taxonomy places the organism in Eukaryota, Viridiplantae, Streptophyta, Magnoliopsida, Ericales, Theaceae.